UCCCUGCUAGAAGCGUGACGCGGUAGGU
This 28-nucleotide non-coding RNA is filed under the name Bombyx mori (domestic silkworm). The record is from RNAcentral. Lineage: Eukaryota; Metazoa; Arthropoda; Insecta; Lepidoptera; Bombycidae.